RNAcentral lists this ribosomal RNA (230 nucleotides) under uncultured bacterium. RNAcentral describes it as "partial 16S ribosomal RNA". It matches the Rfam family "Bacterial small subunit ribosomal RNA", at positions 13 to 235 of the family's 1533-position model. The record is from RNAcentral.
GAAAUCAUGGCUCAGGAUGAACGCUAGCGACAGGCCUAACACAUGCAAGUCGAGGGGCAACAUGGUAUCAGCUUGCUGAUACCGAUGGCGACCGGCGCACGGGUGAGUAACGCGUAUGUAAUCUACCUGUAACAGAGGGAUAACCCGGAGAAAUCCGGACUAAUACCUCAUAGCACAUAUUAUUCGCAUGAAUUUUAUGUUAAAGAGACUCGGUUACAGAUGAACAUGCG